CAGUCACAUCACGUUGAAACACCUGUUCCUGUAAGAUCACUGCAGUUAAGCAACGUCAAUCCUGAUUAGUACCUAGAUGAGUGACCGCUUGCGAAUAACAGGUUUUGUA
Molecule: non-coding RNA, 109 nt
Organism: Acanthosepion pharaonis
Lineage: Eukaryota; Metazoa; Mollusca; Cephalopoda; Sepiida; Sepiidae
Source: the annotation of a GenBank genome assembly